GCUCCUAUGCCAGAGGGAGGCCAGACAGAGGCCAGAACUUGGAACUCUAUGGCAGUUUGCUGAGAUCAGAGCUGCUACAGUGAUAGAGGUCCGAACCCAACCUCUCUGGCUGUCUGCUAGGAUCUCAGCCUUAGCCUACCAAAGCCAAAGUAAGGAAAAUUUUGAUUAAUAACUUUAGCGCAGUAAGAAAUGCUCCUAAGGAGUGUAGUGUGAACUUUGUGUUACAAUAGUAUUAUAGGCAGAUACAGAAAAAUCUACCCUCUUACAUCCUCCUUAUCCUCAGAAAAUUACUGAGGACUUUGCACACACUAAAAUGUAAUGACUGCAGUUAAAUUCUAGCCAGUACUUGUGCUGGCCCAGUAACAAUAAGCUAGCUAUUCAAAGGGUGGAGUUCUUUCACAGUGACAUUCAUGUCUAAUCUUUCCCAUCUAUUCUACUACAUUUUGAAAUAGACUUAUUAAGUGCUGUUUUAGGUGCUAUUAAAAAAAGUAUGCCAGAGCUCACCAGUCUCAAGUUCACCAAACCAACCAGUCUUGGUGGAAGAAAAACUAACCCACAGUGGGUGUGUAUGUUAGAAUAGGGAAAUGUAAGAGAAUUGAUGGAGUCAUGAGCUUACUCAAGUGAACCAUGUGCCUUAGAAAGUGUGGAAUCAGAAGGGUCAAAUGCUAAUAAAAUAACUUAUGAUAAGCAUGUUAUAAGUAAACUACAUCAAUAUAAUUCAAAAAUAUUGAUACUGACUUUUUAAGACACAAACUCCUGUAGAUUGAGAAUAAAAAGGUGUAGGUCAUUAGUAACUCUGGUAGGUUAUUAUACUAGAAUUAUAAUCACAAAUUGCUUAAAUCACCAAUGUAAUACUGAUCAACUCCUUUGCCUAAGUUACUGCUUAUGAAACAUUAGUGUUGAAUGUCUGGCCUGGGAAAACCUCAGAUAGUAAGUGUUUAACUCCAUUAUUUCUUAAUCUCUUUAGAAUUCCAAAAUGAUAGUUUGAAAUUUAACUCACAUAUUUAAGGUCUAGCUUUACCUUAACAGAUUCUAUGGUGAUUUGAAGGGAAGAAGCCAGAGAGCCUGGGCUCCAAUACUCGACUCUACCCGUGGAUCCCACAGAAUGACCUUUUUGGUCAUCCAAAAACCAAAGUUUUUAUAAGUCAUGGUGGAACCAAUGGCAUCUAUGAGGCAAUCUACCAUGGAAUACCUGUGGUUGUCAUUCCCUUGUUUGCAGAUCAACCUGAUAAUGUUGUUCGCAUGAAGACCAAAAGAGCAGAUGUUAGAGUGGACUUCCUCACAAUGUCAAGUACAUAUCUUCUCAAUGCAGUAAAGACAGUCAUCAAUGAUCCCUCGUGAAUAGAAUGCUUUUCAGAUAAGUAGUACUAAACAUAUAUCCCCUCUUAAUGAUAACAGUAGAUUUCAUGCAAUUUUGAGUCUAACUUAAAAAAAAUUAUAAUGGUUUAAUCACUGUGAAAUUAGUUUUAUUCCUAAUCAGGACUGAAAAGUGUCCCCUAUAUACUUACUACACAAGUAGUUGUUAGAAGAAUAAUAUGAUGCCAAAAAGAAUUUUUCUAAAUUACUAAAGGAAAGAUUAGCAAUUUUUAAAAAUUCAACCAAAUCCAUAGACCAGAACAAUGAAGCUUAAAAAAUAUAAAAUACUCCAACUCAAUGUCUAAAAUUUCUGAAACUACUGUUCCUUGUCAAAAUAAUCCAUAUUUAUUGGCUAAAUAGAUGCAUGUGUAUAAUAAGUAAUGACCAAACCAGAAUAGAUACAUUUUCCAUUUCCUCCACCAUCCAUAGCUUCUUUUGUUAGCAAUCUUGAAAGCCCCCUGCUCUAGAACUUCAUUAUAUAAAUAGAUAGAUCAAUGUACAUGUUGUAAAGCAUACUCACUAUCUGUACUAUAGAAUGCUUUCUCUGCUAUCCAACUGCAGCAUGGUACCUGAUAGCCCACCUUUCAUGUCCCUACUUACUCCUCCCCUUCCCAGACUCUAGUUCCACUGUUCUACUGAUGACUCCUGUGAAGAAAACUCUAUUUCAUUCCACAUAUUAAUGUGAAUGUGCAAUGUUUUUCUUGAUGGGCCUAUUUUUUUUUGACUUAACAAAAUAUCUUCCAGUUCCAUCCUUGCAAUUGUAAAUGAUGGAAUAACAUCACUUACUGUUUUCAUAGCACAUAUUCUUUAUCCAUCAUCCUACAAUGGUCACUGUAGUCAGUUGCCAUUCUUAGCUAUCAUGGCAAGUCCUGCAAAAUAUAUAGAACUGCAAGUAUUCCUUUGAUAUAUUGUUUGCUACUUCAUUGAAGAAACUGCUAGGAAAGCAAAAACCUAGGAAAAUUCUGUUUUCAGUUUCUUCAGCAAACUCCUUGCUCUUUUUCUUACUCUCUGCCCUAAAUUAAACUCCAACCAAAGGCCAGUAAUAAUUCCAUGUCUGAGGGCCAGCAAGAUGGCUCAGCAGAUAAAGUCAUUUGCCACCAAACAUAAGUUUGAUCCCCAGGACCCAGUUAGUAGGAGAGAAUCAACUUUCACAAAUUGUCCUCUUACCUCCUCUGUGUGUCCUGUACAUGCACCACACAGAUGCAUACAAAAUAAAAUAAUGAACAAAUAAAUAGUUUUAAGAGCUAAGAAAAAAAAAUAAUUGCACUUCUCCUGUAUCCUUGGAAUCAUUUGAUUUGUUUUGGUUUGAAUUUAUUUGUUUGUUUGUUGGUUGGUUGGUUAAUUGGUUGGUUUGUCUGUUUUGCAGUACUCAGAAUCAAUCCAGAUCCUUGGACAUGCUAAGCAAACACCCAUUCACUGACCUACAUUCCCAGCCCAUACAUGUUCUUUGGGGGAGGGGGUGUUGUUUUCACAUCUUUUGCCCCUUUCUAAUCAAUGAAAGGAGUUUUAUUGACAUUUUAAAGAUUUUGCAUGGCAGAAUCCCUCUCCAAAUCUUCAAGUAGAUCAUUUUUAAAUUGAAUUUAGUUAUCCUGCUUUAAGUGCUAGGAAUGACUUAUUAAAACUUACUCUGCUGGAAAUUAUUUACUUUUCCAAGAGCUUUUUCUUUUGUUCUCUGGAAAGUAUUUCUUCAUCGGAAAAUGCCAACUUACUGCCAAACACAUUAUCAUGUCCUAACUAAAAUGACACUUUGCCUACUGCUCUUCUACAGCAUUUGUUCAGUUUCAUAGUGCUGUCCAAUAACCUUUCAUAGGAUGAACUUAAGUAAAUUAAUUGACUUCCAAUGUUGGUGUCUGUAUUUCUCCCUUAUGCCUGUCUUUAGCUACAAGGAGAAUGUUAUGAGACUAUCAAGAAUUUGCUGUGAGCAGCCAGUGCAGUCCCUCGACCGAGCUAUCUUCUGGGUGGUAUAUGUCAUGUGCCACAAAGAAGCCAAGCACCUUCUGGUGGCAGCCCACAACCUCAGAUGGUUCCAGUACCACUCCCUGGAUCUGAUUGGGUUCCUGUUGGCCUGUGUGGUGACUGUGACAGCCAUCAUCUCAAAAUGUUGCCUCUUUUGUUGCCAGAAGUUUGCUAAAGCUGGAAAGAAGAAGAAAAGGCAGUAGCUGUGUCUACACUUGAAUUUAGGUGGUCUCACAAUGGGCCGCUUCCAGUGCAUUCCAGUAAGAGGGGAUGAUGAUCAUGGGUUCCUUCCACAUGUGAACAGACAAUCCUUCACUAUUUAUUUGUCAAAUCACAGUAUGUUUUUCCAGAUAUGUUAUACAUAAGGGAAAAGAGUAAUUUAAAUUGAAAAAAAAUAAAAUUAAAAUAAAAUCAACAGUAUUAUCAUA
Long non-coding RNA from Nannospalax galili (Upper Galilee mountains blind mole rat), 3740 nucleotides. RefSeq lists it as uncharacterized. The transcript has 2 exons. Lineage: Eukaryota; Metazoa; Chordata; Mammalia; Rodentia; Spalacidae. The record is from RefSeq and is a predicted model, not a curated record.